Molecule: ribosomal RNA, 492 nt
Filed under: uncultured bacterium
Lineage: Bacteria
Description: partial 16S ribosomal RNA
Rfam family: Bacterial small subunit ribosomal RNA
Source: RNAcentral
AGUGAACGCUGGCGGUAGGCCUAACACAUGCAAGUCGAACGGCAGCACAGUAAGAGCUUGCUCUUACGGGUGGCGAGUGGCGGACGGGUGAGGAAUACAUCGGAAUCUACUUUUUCGUGGGGGAUAACGUAGGGAAACUUACGCUAAUACCGCAUACGACCUACGGGUGAAAGCAGGGGGUCUUCGGACCUUGCGCGAUUGAAUGAGCCGAUGUCGGAUUAGCUAGUUGGCGGGGUAAAGGCCCACCAAGGCGACGAUCCGUAGCUGGUCUGAGAGGAUGAUCAGCCACACUGGAACUGAGACACGGUCCAGACUCCUACGGGAGGCAGCAGUGGGGAAUAUUGGACAAUGGGCGCAAGCCUGAUCCAGCCAUACCGCGUGGGUGAAGAAGGCCUUCGGGUUGUAAAGCCCUUUUGUUGGGAAAGAAAAGCAGCAGGUUAAUACCCCGCUGUUCUGACGGUACCCAAAGAGUAAGCACCGGCUAACUUCGUG